CCUACGGGAGGCAGCAGUAGGGAAUAUUGCUCAAUGGGGGAAACCCUGAAGCAGCAACGCCGCGUGGAGGAUGAAGGUUUUCGGAUUGUAAACUCCUUUUGUUAGAGAAGAUAAUGACGGUAUCUAACCAAUAAGCACCGGCUAACUCCGUGCCACCAGCCGCGGUCAUACGGAGGGUGCAAGCGUUACUCGGAAUGACUGGGCGUAAAGAGCGCGUAGGCGGGAUAGCAAGGCAGCUGUGAAAUCCUAUGGCUUAACCAUAGAACUGCAGUUGAAACUGUCAUGCUAGAGUGUGGUAGAGGUAGGUGGAAUGCGUGGUGUAGCGGUAAAAUGCGUAGAGAUCGAGAGGAAUACUGAUGGCGAAGGCGGCGUGCUAGAACGUAACUGACGCUGAGGCGCGAAAGCGUGGGGAGCGAACAGGAUUAGAUACCCGUGUAGUC
Molecule: ribosomal RNA, 440 nt
Filed under: uncultured bacterium
Lineage: Bacteria
Description: partial 16S ribosomal RNA
Rfam family: Bacterial small subunit ribosomal RNA
Source: RNAcentral